This 293-nucleotide unclassified non-coding RNA is filed under the name uncultured Orbiliaceae. RNAcentral's name for it is "sequence contains ITS2". The stretch from base 1 to 52 matches the Rfam family "5.8S ribosomal RNA", at positions 103 to 154 of the family's 154-position model. The record is from RNAcentral. Lineage: Eukaryota; Fungi; Ascomycota; Orbiliomycetes; Orbiliales.
AACGCACAUUGCGCCUUCUGGUAUUCCGGUAGGCAUGUCUGUCUGAGCGUCAGCAAACACCCUCAGCUUGAGUAUUUUUUUGUACUCAUGCUGGUCUUGGGCUUGGAAGCUGGGAUUAACCCCCCCGCGCCUGCCCUAAACUUGCUGCACGACCGCUGGCUUCGGCUGGGUCAAUGGAGUGGUGUCACAAUCUUCCAGAAGACUUUCAACUGUAGCGCGGUGGCGUUAAACCUGCUGUCCGAAAGGACCGAAGUUUUGACCUCAGAUCAGAUAAGGAUACCCGCUGAACUUAA